This 6530-nucleotide long non-coding RNA is filed under the name Chlamydomonas reinhardtii. Its description in RNAcentral is "long non-coding RNA (CREI_LNC000459)". Lineage: Eukaryota; Viridiplantae; Chlorophyta; Chlorophyceae; Chlamydomonadales; Chlamydomonadaceae. The record is from RNAcentral.
CCCUGGCUGCCAACUGCAUGUGCAUUUGGACCAAGCCCUGCUCGCAUGCCGCGCGCUGCAGAAACACGAAUGCUAUCUAGGGGUCUCAACAUAAAAUGCAUGGAUACCUGAGGUUCACAGCACGUAUGCAGUGGAAUUGAGCGAGCCGGCGAUAUCGGUUUGCCCAACGUUGCUCCGAACCAUCAUAAAACCUGUGCGCUCAAUCAUAAGCUGCAAAAUAUCAACAGAAUUUACUCUUGUUUGCACGGCACCUUGGGCUGACCGGAAUUGCAAAUUGGAGCUCGCUGUAGGUAGCUUCUGGCUUAUCAAAACAUACGGAUACCGUCAUGUGGGCAAGCGCUUUGCUUCGACCAUGCCUUCUUGUACCUCGCGGGCUGGCGCGACGAGGGCUCGGCCUGGGCGGGCCAGCGCCGCUCGCCGCCGCUCGGGGGCUGUUCAACAACACAGCCGCAAACGCCACGCCAGCUACGCCAGCAACAAGCCAUGCUACACAUAGCCACGCAGGCCACGGCGCUACCAGCAGCGCCGGCCUCAACAGCAGGCACCUGAGCCACAGCUCUAGCUGCAGCGCCGGCGCCGGCAGUAGCAGCGGACGUGGCGCCGAUGACGCCACCUAUACCACCACCACCACCACCGCUGCCACCGCUGCCACUGCCACUGCAAACCGCAAUGAUGCUGGCACCAUCAGUGACGCAGAGUGGGCUGAGGUGGUGGAGCUGCUGGGGGCAAUGGCGGCGACCAAGGGCCGCCCCAACGCGCCGGGCGGGUGGCGGGACGCGUACGAGUACAUGCCCGUGCACCUGCAGGUGUGCGUGUGUGCGAGCAAUGCUCGCUGCUAUGCUGGGCAGCAGUUAAUUAGUUUAGUUGGGUUUCUUUGGUUACUCAUGCGCUGUAGCGAUGUGUCCGGCGUCCCUCCUGCUUUUGCUGCAAUGGUUGACUGAAUGAUCGUCACAAUGCCUAACUCACAGCGUGUCGGACUGACCCCGGAGCGCCUUGCCUCCCUCAACUUCAUUCACGUGGCCGGAACCAAGGGCAAGGUGGGUCCUCACUGCUGUUUGCUGUGGGAACCCGUAGCAGCCUAGGACCAGCGGGCGGGUAGCAGGGCUAGGACCUGUGGACGGGUUUGCCGGCGGUGGUGCCGUGUGUGCAGGGGCAGGCACGAGGGGCAGGUGGGCUCAGAGGUUACACACGGCGGCCUAGGAUCUGAUGACAGGUCGUGCCAUCCUAUACAUGUACUCCCCCUCCUCCUGCUACCACGCCUCCUGCCACCCCUCCGCUUUUCACCCCUCCUCCUUCUCCACCCGUCGUCCUCCUUCGCCACCCCUCCUCCUCCUUCCCUACCCGCCCUCCCCCAACAAGCCCUCCACUGCCCACCGACCCCCUCCCCCCGCCACACACACACAGGGCUCCACGUGUGCUAUGGUGGAGUCGCUGCUGCGCGCCGCCGGCUACCGCACUGGGCUGUACACCUCGCCACACCUGGUGGACGUGAGGGAGCGACUGCGGCUGGACGGGUGGGCGCAGGGCCUCGGGGCCUCAGAGAGAGAAGGGGGUUUGCAAGUACCAGCCCAAACUAAAUCAAAACCAACGAAAACGAGCGGAGGACAGGCAGAGGCGUUAGUUGCCAGCGAUAAUACUUAUGGGAUGGGGGCCGAGGCGUCGUGGAGCAGCAGGGCGAGCGGCGCCGGCGAUAAAUGUCGCCGCCCGGGCUGCACAGAUGGUUGCAGAGGCCGUGCAAGAUGCACUACUGAAGACUGCAAGACGAAGUCGAUACCGAAGGAGGCGAUGUAAAGCGGAAACACAGACGAGAGAAGCUUGUGGGAUGGCAGUGCAAGAAGGGGCGGGGGCGGCCCUGGGAGGGAUGGGGCAAGCGCUUUGGCGCAGGGCAAACCAGGGAGGGUUUCCAGCCUUUCAUAUAGAUUCAGCACUGGUAGCUUUUGGGGCUGUUGACGGCCGGCCAGUCCCCACACCAAGAAGCCUUGCCCGCGUGCCCCUCCAAUAAGGCAAUAGCACAUCCAUCGCCUGCCGCCCAAGGCCACCAACCCCUGCCGCAACCACACCCCCAACCCCCCUCUCUCUCUCAUACACACACUCACACCCCAAACACACACCUGGUCGCGCCCACAGCCGCAUGCUGCCCCGGGCUGAGUUCGCCGCCUCCUUCUGGCGGGUGUACGGCGCACUGAGUACGGCGGCGGCACGGGACGCCCAGGCGGCGGCUACGGCGGCGGCGGCUGGUGGCGGCGGCGGCAGCCCCGCCAGCGGCCAGGUGGCGGCGGUGGGCAUGCCCAGCUUCUUUAGCUUUAUGACAAUCAUGGGUGAGCGCUAAUGGGGUGGAGCUGAAUAGAUUAACAUGGUCUGACGGUUAAGGAUUGUGUUGGAUAUCGCCCGUGGUUGCUGCUGUGAGAGCAUACGAUGAGACCGGCCUGGGCGGUAUAGGGCGUGUGCCCAAUGCUUUGCCCGUGCGCAUGAGACGUUGAUACCAAGCAACUUGCGACUGCUGCUGUCAUGAUUCGUGACUUGCCGCAGCCAUGGAUGCGUUCCUUGCCCGGCCUCCGGAGCUGCGGCCGCAGGUGGUGGUGCUUGAGGUGAGCGCGUGCUGCAGAGGGCGAAGGCGGGUGGAAAAGAGAAAGGGAAAGGGAAAGAGCAAAAGAUGGUUGGAAAGAGGGAAGGAUGGAAAGAGAGAAAGGGAAGCGCAACUGGUAGUGAUGGGUGUGCAGGAGCCACCCAUGCAAGAGCGCAAAGCAAGCCGACGCCAGCGGUGUGGCUGAGAACCAUGCUUUCCCCACCACCACCCGGCUACAACGCCACAUCUUACAACACCAUGUAACCAUGUAAUCCCCUGCCCGAUGUACACCUCUACCCACCCACCACCACCAUCACCGCCACCACCACCACCACCACCACCACCACCACCACCACCACCACCACCACCACCACCACCACCACCACCACCACCACCACCACCACGUGCAGGUGGGCAUCGGCGGGCGGCUGGACGCCACCAACGCGGUGGUGGGCCCCCGCGGCUGCUCCCUGGCCGCCGCCGCGGUGACCAGCCUGGGCUUCGACCACAUGGAGCUGCUGGGAGACACACUGCCGGUGAGGGGGGGGAGGGAGGGAGGAGGGAGGAGGGGGGGAGGGGGAGGGGGAGGGGGAGUUGCUGGGUUAUGUGCCCCAGCCCAGCAAAAACAUUGCAUGGUUUAGGGGGAGGGGGAGGUACUGCUGGCGAGGGUAGAAGGGAUACGAUGGUAAGGGAUGACGACCAGGAAGGACUAGAGCAUAGUAGGAGGCGAGCCGACGAAGAGAGAACGGCUUCUCGACAUAAGCAUGCGAGCUGACUUGCUGACCGCGCCGCUCGACUCCGUUGCACGCCUCACACAGAAAAUUGCUCGUGAGAAGGCGGGCGUGAUGAAGCCGGGGCGGCCGGUGCUGGCGGUGCCGCAGCCGGAGGAGGCUAUGGCGGCGUUGCAGGUGGGGCGGCGGGGGGGAGGGCGGGCGUGGGGGGAGGGGGACGGGGCGGGGACCGGAGGUGUGGGCUGUCGCACAAUGCGUGGGGGAGUGGAAAGGGUGUAGGAGGUGGUGUGGGUGGUGAUGUGAUUUGCGUGGGAGGCGGGGGAGGGGUGCGGGACUGGGAGGUACCGGUAGUCAACAGGAAGCCAUUCUAGAGCAUUCAACGCACAAAAACAUGCACGAGCAGCAUCUAUUUCGGUCACCACCGGCUGAGCGUUAUCUCCUGUGGUGUCGGCAACCCGGCGGUCCGUCACUCACACGCAGGAGGUGGCUGACCGCGUCGGCGCGUCGCUAUCCGUGCCGCCGCCGCUGGAGCGCUACAGCCUGGCGGCGGGUGCAGGCAGUAGCAGCAGUAGCAGCAGCUCGGCACCUGACCUGGUGGGUGUAAGGAGGUGCCGUAGCUGCUUCUUUUGAACUCCUUCCUUCCCCAUGGAAAGCUGUGACGACAUUCGCAACGACGGCAUGGGCAAAAAUGACGUGUAUUUGAUUAAUUUUGCGUAACACAGCACACAAUACUUAGUAUGAGAUAUCUGGAACAUAAAAUGCCAGCUGGUGCUGCUGCUGCUCCUGCCGUACAGGUGGGCCUGGGCGGGGAGCACAUGCGCCUCAACGCCUCCCUGGCUGUAGCACUGGCGGCCGAGUGGGAACGACAGUACGGCGCGGCUGCUACAGCCGCGGCGGCGGCAGCCGCCUCCGGUGCCGGCGCUGGCGCCGUGGCGGCUGCGGCGGCGGCGGCUGCCGGCAGGGCGCUGGUGCUGCUGCCCGGUGGGCCGAAGGGCGCAGAUGCCACGGCGCGUGCUGCUGCGGUCAGGUGAGUGAGGCUUGGGUCGUGUGUCGUCGCAUACGGUAUGCCGGCUUUGAGAGCGAGUUGCAGCAAGUACGGUUCGCAGCCACUUUUUCUCCAUCCGCUGUGGGGCCACACGACGGGCGGCAACUCAAAAUCCCCGGAGAGAGGCCGUGUUUAGAGACUGGGUAGACCCGUGCCAAAUCCACCUCGCUACCGUCCACGCCUGUUUCCCUAAGCNNNNNNNNNNNNNNNNNNNNNNNNNNNNNNNNNNNNNNNNNNNNNNNNNNNNNNNNNNNNNNNNNNNNNNNNNNNNNNNNNNNNNNNNNNNNNNNNNNNNAAUCGCCCCCGCCCCAUCCCACCCGCCACCCCACCCACCCCUACCCCACCCCCCGCCCCACUCCACACGCCCCGCCCCACCCCCACACGCCACUCCACCCCAACGCCCACCCCAUCCCAUCCCACCCACGCCACCCCAAUCCACCCCACCCCCCAACCGGCCCCCAACCGCCAACCCCCAACCACCUGCCGCCCCCUCACCUCCAGCAGGGGGAACACGGUGUUGCCUACGCCGCACCCCACCUCCAGCAGAGUGGCGGGCCCGGCAGCCAGGUCCGGAAACUCUGUGUGCGAGUGAAAAGGGGGAACGAGGAGGAGGGGGGUAGGAGGAGGGAGUGGCGGUUUAGCGUAGCGGUGCGUGCGUGGUCGGUGGUUGACCUGGGCAAACGCUGGGUACGGUGGCCACUGUGUCAUCGGCGACAGGCUGUCUUGCGGCGUCUCCACUCCUGCUUCAUUAAGAACCAUGCGCGCGUGUGCAUUACUUUCGGGCUGAGCCCGUACCUGCCCACGGCACGUGGCAGCCCAUGCAGCCGUGUCUGGCUCCGGCUCCGCGCGGCUGGUCGCCUCGGCCUUCUCAGCCAUUCCUACCUACCCGCCCGCCGCGCCCCGCAUCUGUAUUACUCAAGUGUUGAAACGGUACUACCAUCCUGGGCCCUUGCACUCCUCACCCUUGUGCAGGUAGUGCCGGUCCUUAAAGAAUUUUGUGGUAUUGCGCCUGUAGAACAUGUCCCAGUACUUGCCCGCCUGGGCUUCAUAGCGGUCUGCGAGCGAGCAGGCGUAGAGGAGGUACCGUGUGAGUGCACACGGAUGGCCGGCGGGGGAGAGGCUGGCCCUUCGUCGGCAGCCAUAGUCGGCGCUAUCGAGUUCAAUCGCAAGCCUCUGCGUCCAGCAUUCCUGCCAGUGGCCCGCGGCUGCGUUGUUAGCGAGCUGCCGCCGCGAGCAAUUGCGCGUUUGCUGCUGAGAGCAAAGGACGAGCCUUUACUUUUAUUUGCUUGACCAUUUAGGUAUGAGUAGUUAUUUGAAGAAACAGAAAGGAAAUUACCUGCAAGGUGCGGCGGCACAUCGCUCAAGUCUUCUGGGAGAAGCUUUAGCGCCAUAUUUGGGCACCUAUACACGCACUUAUAAGCAUGUGUUCCGUGUGGAUGUGGUGGGCGCUGCGUCACUUGAGCACCGGUCAAACAGUGGUCCCCAUCGCUGAUGCAUGCUGCGGCCUUUCACCGGUAACGGGGGCGGGGGGGGGGUAGGAAGGCUCAUAGGUCCUGUAUUCUUCAGCACCAGUAAAAAGGCUAUGCAUGCCUCUGUAUCCUAGGACAUGACAGGCAGGCAGUGAGACAGUUCAGGAUAGUGUGCAGAAGGCAGAAUAGCCGUGCCGUGCCAUGCCGCCAAAUCCUGGCUUGUGCAUAGUAGGCAGGAGCCAGCUAACCAACAAACCUCAGGCCAUCCUGUCCUGUCUUGCUAAUUAUUUUUCGCAUACACAUAGCUGGGAACCCUAGGGCGGAACCCUAAGGGCGUUAUCGUACGGGGGGCGGAUGGGCGCCAACCCUCCCCUGGCUGCCAACUGCAUGUGCAUUUGGACCAAGCCCUGCUCGCAUGCCGCGCGCUGCAGAAACACGAAUGCUAUCUAGGGGUCUCAACAUAAAAUGCAUGGAUACCUGAGGUUCACAGCACGUAUGCAGUGGAAUUGAGCGAGCCGGCGAUAUCGGUUUGCCCAACGUUGCUCCGAACCAUCAUAAAACCUGUGCGCUCAAUCAUAAGCUGCAAAAUAUCAACAGAAUUUACUCUUGUUUGCACGGCACCUUGGGCUGACCGGAAUUGCAAAUUGGAGCUCGCUGUAGGUAGCUUCUGGCUUAUCAAAACAUACGGAUACCGUCAUGUGGGCAAGCGCUUUGCUUCG